GUAGGUGAACCUGCGGAAGGAUCAUUACCGAGUUCAUGCCCUUACGGGUAGAUCUCCCACCCUUUGUAUACUAUACCUUUGUUGCUUUGGCGAGCCGCCUAGCUACUGGCUUCGGCUGGUAUGUGCCCGCCAGAGGACCCAAAACCCUGAAUUAUUAGUGUCGUCUGAGUAAAAUAUUUAAUAUUUAAAACUUUCAACAACGGAUCUCUUGGCUCUG
This 217-nucleotide unclassified non-coding RNA is filed under the name rhizosphere metagenome. Its description in RNAcentral is "partial ribosomal RNA internal transcribed spacer region". The record is from RNAcentral.